Molecule: ribosomal RNA, 292 nt
Filed under: uncultured Acidobacteriota bacterium
Lineage: Bacteria; Pseudomonadati; Acidobacteriota
Description: uncultured Acidobacteria bacterium partial 16S ribosomal RNA
Source: RNAcentral
GGACUACUGGGGUAUCUAAUCCUGUUUGCUACCCACGCUUUCGUGUCUCAGCGUCAGUGACCGUCCAGAUAGCCGUCUACACCGCAGGUGUUCCUCCUGAUAUCUACGCAUUUCACCGCUACACCAGGAAUUCCGCUAUCCUCUCCGGUACUCAAGCCUUCCAGUUUUCGGCGCACCCUCCCAGUUAAGCCGGGAGAUUUCACACCAAACUUAGAAAACCGCCUACACACUCUUUACGCCCAGUAAUUCCGAACAACGCUUGCUGCCUACGUAUUACCGCGGCUGCUGGCAC